UACGAAGGGGGCUAGCGUUGUUCGGAAUUACUGGGCGUAAAGCGCGUGUAGGCUGCUCUGCAAGUCGGGUGUGAAAGCCCCGGGCUCAACCUGGGAAGUGCACUCGAAACUGCAGAGCUUGAGUCCUGGAGAGGAAGGCGGAAUUCUCGGUGUAGAGGUGAAAUUCGUAGAUAUCGAGAGGAACACCGGUGGCGAAGGCGGCCUUCUGGACAGUGACUGACGCUGAGACGCGAAAGCGUGGGGAGCAAACAGG
This 253-nucleotide ribosomal RNA is filed under the name uncultured bacterium. RNAcentral's name for it is "partial 16S ribosomal RNA". It matches the Rfam family "Bacterial small subunit ribosomal RNA", at positions 524 to 776 of the family's 1533-position model. The record is from RNAcentral.